UUGUCGAUCAAGUGUCACAAACUGUCAAAAUUUCUUAUUAUUUUCCGAAUACUAUAUUAAUUUAGCCAAAAGUUAGCUUUAAAAGGGGAGGCACAAAAUGUACCAAAUCUGUAUUAAUUUAUUAAAUAAAUAGUUCAAAAUGUCCAAGCUGCUGUUUGUUCUUUGCAUCUUUCUCCUGACCAUUGUCUUCGUUGCUAUUGCAAAGAAACCGCAUUGUGCAUCAUUCAAUAAACCAUGCAAUCCAUCAGAAGGUUCUAACAACUGCUGUAACGAGAUGAGCUGUCUAAAGCAUGAUUCCAAAGGUGGGAAAACUGUUGGAUUAUGUGCAUAUGCUAACUAAUGACUAAGAGGAGAGCAAGUCGGUAGA
This is a long non-coding RNA of Belonocnema kinseyi, 367 nucleotides long. RefSeq lists it as uncharacterized. The transcript has 3 exons. Lineage: Eukaryota; Metazoa; Arthropoda; Insecta; Hymenoptera; Cynipidae. The record is from RefSeq and is a predicted model, not a curated record.